Molecule: long non-coding RNA, 454 nt
Filed under: Neodiprion lecontei (redheaded pine sawfly)
Lineage: Eukaryota; Metazoa; Arthropoda; Insecta; Hymenoptera; Diprionidae
Description: uncharacterized LOC124294730
Source: RNAcentral
CUUACUUAAUUCAAAAGUUUGAAAAAAGAAAUCGUUCUGAGGAGGGCCCAUAUCCGGGUCGAAACGUUAACUAAAAAUACGUUUUCUUAAUUGACCGAUCACCAAGACUCUAUAAUAUAUUUUAUUUAAUGUCAUUUAACACAUGAAAUAUUCACAAUUUAAUGACAUUAAAGUGGUGUCAUGAGAAAAAAAAUCAUCCGUUGGAAGGUUCUAGAUUUUUACAGCAUUUAUUUGUCAAACUUCGAACCGAACUGAGUACUUCAUUUUAAUGAAAUUUUAUUGUCAGACCUCUCGUUUUUGCGCUCCAUCAUAGUGAAGCUAAUAUAGUCAGGAAAAAAAGCGUGAGAUGAAACAAUGCAAGUUAAUUUAUUUGCCAAGUACAAACUAUGUAAUUAUUGUUGAUGAAGCAAGUCUUAUAAAAAUGUGACUUUUUAUUUUAUUGAUGGUUCUGCUU